CUAAUCUGGCAAAUUUCAAUUUGAAAAUGGAACGUUCUAUAUUUGACCCUGUAACUUUCCAAAACACCAUAAAACAUGUUAAUGGGGGGUACUGUUGUACUCGUGAGACAUCGCUGAUUACAAAUAUGUGCAUUUUUUUUGCAGUAAAACCUAACAGUAUUAUGACAUUAACAGCUAAAAUGUCAGAUGGAAAUACAAAUUUUAAAUACAUUUUUAUUUUCUCAUAUUUUUUAAAAUUUUAUUCAUAAUAAAUUAUGUUCCAUAUAUGAAUAGUUGAUGAUAAAUGAAAGCCCUGUUUCUCCUGAACAAAAUGAUAUAUAAUAAGUGUGGGUGCACUUAAUGUGACAGCGGUGACUUACGGUUGAACAGACAUAUAGUGCAAAUUCCAGUUUUUGUUUACGUUUUGUUUUGAUCAGAACGUGUACUAUUGACUCCGUCCUGAAGGGGUUAAUCCAACUAUCUUUCUCCCCCCAAUAUUAUUUAUUCUUUUUUUUUUAUAUUGACAAAAAUGGACAACAUAAAAUCAAACAUUGAAAGGACAGUGCUUACAUAAAUUUGAUAGUACCGUUAAUUGUAACCAGAUUUGGCAAACAUUACUAUUGCAUCAAAAGUUAAGUUAUUAGCAUUAGAAACUCUAUACAAGAUUGGCUAAUAUGUUAAGUUACAAUCAAGUAAUCCAGAUAUAAACAUGGUUCUAAUACCUAUAGAGUUAGAUGAUAUCAUGGGUCAAUAGACAAUAAUCAUAU
Non-coding RNA from Pelobates cultripes (western spadefoot toad), 746 nucleotides. The record is from the annotation of a GenBank genome assembly. Lineage: Eukaryota; Metazoa; Chordata; Amphibia; Anura; Pelobatidae.